AGGGAUCAUUACUGAGUUUACGCUCUAUAACCCUUUGUGAACAUACCUAUAACUGUUGCUUCGGCGGGUAGGGUCUCCGCGACCCUCCCGGCCUCCCGCCUCCGGGCGGGUCGGCGCCCGCCGGAGGAUAACCAAACUCUGAUUUAACGACGUUUCUUCUGAGUGGUACAAGCAAAUAAUCAAAACUUUUAACAACGGAUCUCUUGGUUCUGGCAUCGAUGAAGAACGCAGCGAAAUGCGAUAAGUAAUGUGAAUUGCAGAAUUCACUGAAUCAUCGAAUCUUUGAACGCACAUUGCGCCCGCCAGCAUUCUGGCGGGCAUGCCGGUUCGAGCGUCAUUUCAACCCUCAAGCUCUGCUUGGUGUUGGGGCCCUACAGCUGAUGUAGGCCCUCAAAGGUAGUGGCGGACCCUCCCGGAGCCUCCUUUGCGUAGUAACUUUACGUCUCGCACUGGGAUCCGGAGGGACUCUUGCCGUAAAACCCCCCAAUUUUCCAAAGGUUGACCUCGGAUCAGGUAGGAAUACCCGCUGAA
RNAcentral lists this ribosomal RNA (531 nucleotides) under Colletotrichum fructicola. RNAcentral's name for it is "eukaryotic LSU rRNA". The stretch from base 184 to 337 matches the Rfam family "5.8S ribosomal RNA". The record is from RNAcentral. Lineage: Eukaryota; Fungi; Ascomycota; Sordariomycetes; Glomerellales; Glomerellaceae.